RNAcentral lists this ribosomal RNA (864 nucleotides) under Nocardiopsis lucentensis. RNAcentral describes it as "partial 16S ribosomal RNA". It matches the Rfam family "Bacterial small subunit ribosomal RNA", at positions 638 to 1480 of the family's 1533-position model. The record is from RNAcentral. Lineage: Bacteria; Bacillati; Actinomycetota; Actinomycetes; Streptosporangiales; Nocardiopsidaceae.
CCUCUUCAGUAGGUAGGGGGGGGGCUGGAAAUCCUUGCUGUAGCGGUGGAAAAACAGCAGAUAUCAGCAGGGAGCAACGGCGGGGGAAGGAGGGUCUUUUUGUCCGUUUCUCCCGCUGAGGAGGGAAAAACAAUCGUGAGCGGACCAGAAUUAUUACCCCCGUAGUCCCUUCCCGGCAAAAAUUGGGCGCUAGGUGUGGGGGCUUUCCUUCCGUUUUUCGCGCCGUACUUACACAUUAAUCGCCCCCCCUGGGGAGUACGACCCGCAAGGCUUAAACUCAAAGGAAUUGUCGGGGGGGCCGCACAACCGGCGGAGCAUGUUGCUUAAUUCUUCCCAGCGCGAAGAACCUUACCAAGGUUUGACAUCACCCGUGGACGUGCAGAAAUGUGGGGUCAUUUAGUUGUUGGGUGACAACAGGUGCAUCGCUGUCGUCAGCUCGUGUCGUGAGAAGUUGGGUUAAUUACCGCACCGAGCGCAACCCUUCUUCCAUGUUGCCAGCACGUAGUGGUGGGGACUCAUGGGAGACUGCCGCGGUCAACUCCGAGGAAGGUGGGGGCGACGUCAAGUCAUCAUGCCCCUUAUUUCUUCGGCUGCAAACAUGCUACAAUAGCCGGUACAAUGGGGGUGGGAAACCGUCAGGUGGAGCGACUCCCUAAAAGCCGGUCUCAGUUCGGAUUGGGGUCUUCAACUCCUCCCCAUGAAGGAGGAGUCGCUAGUAAUCACGGAUCAUCAACGCCGCGGUGAAUAAGUUCCCGGGCCUUGUACUCCCCGCCCAUCACCCCUUCCCCCGUCGGUAACACCCGAAACUUGUGGUCCAUCCCCUUGUGGGAGGGACCCCACUUAAGGUGGACCUGAAAGGGACCG